CAGGCUUAACACAUGCAAGUCGAGGGGCAGCAUGGUCUUAGCUUGCUAAGGCCGAUGGCGACCGGCGCACGGGUGAGUAACACGUAUCCAACCUGCCGUCUACUCUCGGACAGCCUUCUGAAAGGAAGAUUAAUACAAGAUGGCAUCAUGAGUCCGCAUGUUCACAUGAUUAAAGGUAUUCCGGUAGACGAUGGGGAUGCGUUCCAUUAGAUAGUAGGCGGGGUAACGGCCCACCUAGUCUUCGAUGGAUAGGGGUUCUGAGAGGAAGGUCCCCCACAUUGGAACUGAGACACGGUCCAAACUCCUACGGGAGGCAGCAGUGAGGAAUAUUGGUCAAUGGGCGAGAGCCUGAACCAGCCAAGUAGCGUGAAGGAUGACUGCCCUAUGGGUUGUAAACUUCUUUUAUAAAGGAAUAAAGUCGGGUAUGCAUACCCGUUUGCAUGUACUUUAUGAAUAAGGAUCGGCUAACUCCGUGCCAGCAGCCGCGGUAAUACGGAGGAUCCGAGCGUUAUCCGGAUUUAUUGGGUUUAAAGGGAGCGUAGAUGGAUGUUUAAGUCAGUUGUGAAAGUUUGCGGCUCAACCGUAAAAUUGCAGUUGAUACUGGAUAUCUUGAGUGCAGUUGAGGCAGGCGGAAUUCGUGGUGUAUCGGUGGAAUGCUUAGAUAUCACGAAGAACUCCGAUUGCGAAGGCAGCCUGCUAAGCUGCAACUGACAUUGAGGCUCGAAAGUGUGGGUAUCAAACAGGAUUAGAUACCCUGGUAGUCCACACGGUAUACGAUGAAUACUCGCUGUUUGCGAUAUACAGCAAGCGGGCCAAGCGAAAGCGUUAAGUAUUCCACCUGGGGAGUACGCCGGCAACGGUGAAACUCAAAGGAAUUGACGGGGGCCCGCACAAGCGGAGGAACAUGUGGUUUAAUUCGAUGAUACGCGAGGAACCUUACCCGGGCUUAAAUUGCAGAUGAAUUACGGUGAAAGCCGUAAGCCGCAAGGCAUCUGUGAAGGUGCUGCAUGGUUGUCGUCAGCUCGUGCCGUGAGGUGUCGGCUUAAGUGCCAUAACGAGCGCAACCCUUGUUGUCAGUUACUAACAGGUCAUGCUGAGGACUCUGACAAGACUGCCAUCGUAAGAUGUGAGGAAGGUGGGGAUGACGUCAAAUCAGCACGGCCCUUACGUCCGGGGCUACACACGUGUUACAAUGGGGGGUACAGAGGGCCGCUACCACGCGAGUGGAUGCCAAUCCCAAAAACCUCUCUCAGUUCGGACUGGAGUCUGCAACCCGACUCCACGAAGCUGGAUUCGCUAGUAAUCGCGCAUCAGCCACGGCGCGGUGAAUACGUUCCCGGGCCUUGUACACACCGCCCGUCAAGCCAUGGGAGCCGGGGGUACCUGAAGUGCGUAACCGCGAGGAGCGCCCUAGGGUAAAACUGGUGACUGGGGCUAA
RNAcentral lists this ribosomal RNA (1438 nucleotides) under uncultured bacterium. RNAcentral's name for it is "16S ribosomal RNA". It matches the Rfam family "Bacterial small subunit ribosomal RNA". The record is from RNAcentral.